GUGAGGAAUUUUCCGCAAUGGGCGAAAGCCUGACGGAGCAAUGCCGCGUGAAGGAUGAAGGCCUAUGGGUUGUAAACUUCUUUUCUCAGAAAAGAAUUAUGACGGUAUCUGAGGAAUAAGCAUCGGCUAACUCUGUGCCAGCAGCCGCGGUAAGACAGAGGAUGCAAGCGUUAUCCGGAAUGAUUGGGCGUAAAGCGUCUGUAGGUUGUUUAAAAAGUAUUCUGUCAAAGAUUAGGGCUUAACCCUAGAUAGGCAGAAUAAACUUUUAAGCUAGAGUUUGGUAGAGGCAGAGGGAAUUCCCGGUGGAGCGGUGAAAUGCGUAGAUAUCGGGAGGAACACCAAAGGCGAAGGCACUCUGCUGGGCCAAUACUAACACUGAGAGACGAAAGCGAGGGGAGCAAACAGGAUUAGAUACUCGAGUAGUCC
This 426-nucleotide ribosomal RNA is filed under the name uncultured bacterium. Its description in RNAcentral is "partial 16S ribosomal RNA". It matches the Rfam family "Bacterial small subunit ribosomal RNA", at positions 354 to 796 of the family's 1533-position model. The record is from RNAcentral.